AGAGUUUGAUUCUGGCUCAGGAUGAACGCUAGCUACAGGCUUAACACAUGCAAGGUCGAGGGGCAGCAUGGUCUUAGCUUGCUAAGAUUGAUGGCGACCGGCGCACGGGUGAGUAACGCGUAUCCAACCUUCCCUAUAGUAGGGGAUAGCCCGUAGAAAUGCGGAUUAAUACCCUAUGUUGUAUUUCGAGGGCAUCUGACGAAUACCAAAGGUUCACCGCUAUAGGAUGGGGAUGCGUCUGAUUAGGUAGUCGGCGGGGUAACGGCCCACCGAGCCAACGAUCAGUAGGGUUCGUGAGAGGAAGGUCCCCCACCAUUGGAACUGAGACACGGUCCAAACUCCUACGGGAGGCAGCAGUGAGGAAUAUUGGUCAAUGGGCGAGAGCCUGAACCAGCCAAGUAGCGUGCCAGGAUGACGGCCCUAUGGGUUGUAAACUGCUUUUAUGCGGGGAUAAAGUGAGGGACGUGUCCCUUAUUGUAGGUACCGCAUGAAUAAGGACCGGCUAAUUCCGUGCCAGCCGCAGC
Molecule: ribosomal RNA, 524 nt
Filed under: uncultured bacterium
Lineage: Bacteria
Description: bacterial SSU rRNA
Rfam family: Bacterial small subunit ribosomal RNA
Source: RNAcentral